This 215-nucleotide ribosomal RNA is filed under the name Glomeromycotina sp. RNAcentral's name for it is "partial small subunit ribosomal RNA". The stretch from base 75 to 215 matches the Rfam family "Eukaryotic small subunit ribosomal RNA", at positions 721 to 864 of the family's 1831-position model. The record is from RNAcentral. Lineage: Eukaryota; Fungi; Glomeromycota.
GGGUCAGUAGGUUGGUCGUGCCACCGGUACGUACUGGUCUCACUGAUUCCUCCUUCCCGAAGAACCGUAAUGCCAUUAAUUUGGUGUUGCGGGGAAACAGGACUGUUACUUUGAAAAAUUAGAGUGUUUAAAGCAAGCUAACGCUUGAAUACAUUAGCAUGGAAUAAUGAAAUAGGACGAUCGAUCCUAUUUUGUUGGUUUCUAGGAUUGACGUA